UACGGAGGGGACUAGCGUUGUUCGGAAUUACUGGGCGUAAAGCGCACGUAGGCGGCUUUGUAAGUCAGGGGUGAAAUCCCGGGGCUCAACCUCGGAACUGCCUUUGAUACUGCAAAUCUCGAGUCCGGAAGAGGUGAGUGGAAUUCCUAGUGUAGAGGUGAAAUUCGUAGAUAUUAGGAGGAACACCGAUGGCGAAGGCAGCCCCCUGGGCUAAGACUGACGCUGAGGCACGAAAGCGUGGGGAGCAAACAGG
RNAcentral lists this ribosomal RNA (253 nucleotides) under uncultured bacterium. Its description in RNAcentral is "partial 16S ribosomal RNA". It matches the Rfam family "Bacterial small subunit ribosomal RNA", at positions 524 to 776 of the family's 1533-position model. The record is from RNAcentral.